AUGGAGCCGCACGUGAGUGGCACACGAGGGGGUGGCUCUGUACCUGUGGUGUCCCGUGACAUGCUGAGGGGAUCAAUUGGGGCAAGGGGACCAGAGCCAGAAGGGCUCCAUCACCCCUGGGACACUGGUUCUGUGCUGGGGCUCCUGCCCCAAACUGGUGGGGAUGUCCUUGGCCUGGGGGUGAUGGCAUGGGGACAUCCCAGUAUGAGAGGAUGUCCCUGUCCUGGGGGUGAUGGCACGGGGACAUCCCGGUACCAGGGGACAUCCUCGUCCUGGGGAGGGACAGGCACUGGGGAAGGGGCCACGGGAGGCCCCCGGGUGGGGGCGCACAGCCCCGUGCCGGGGGAGGAGCGGGGACAUCGCGGUGCGGCUCCGGGAGGACGCCCCCCGUUGCGCGGAGCAUCCCGGCGCCAAGGAGCAUCCCUGGCCGGGGCUGUGCCGGGGCCGUGCCGCUCACCUUCCCCGCGGCCCCCCCCGUCCCCUCCAUCCUCCCCGUGCCCGGUACUCACAUCUCCAGCAGGCGUCCCGCCCGCCCGCCGCGCUCAUGGCCCCGCCGGAGCCCGGCCCGGCACGGCCCGGCACGGCCCCCCCCGAGCGGCUCCGGGCCGAGCGCGCCGCCCCCGAGCCGUACCACGCCGCCGACGGCAGGGGGAGCGGGGCGAACCACGGCGGGGGCGGCCGGGGGUGGGCGAGACCCCCCCGGUUCCGAGCUGCCCCCCAUGCCGGGGGUCCCCCGAGCCCCGCCGGGGGAGGCUCCGCGCUCUCCGUGCGCCCCGCGUCCCGUGCGCCACGGGGGGACGGCCGGUGCCGGCCCCUUCCCAGGAGACGUGUCCCGUCCUGGGGGGCGCUUCUGACCUCCGCAGGACCCCCCGCAUCCUCUGCAGGACCCUCGUAGCCCCGUGGUCUGGCCCCAUCCCACCCUCACACUGUGUCCCCGUGUCCCCGCCACGGCCGCUGGGACCCGCUGGGGACAUUGGGCACCAGCCAAGUGCAAGCCCCUGGGUGCAGCAUGGGCAGGACGGGAGCUGUGGCCGAAAUGAAGAGGUCAAGGAGACAAAAGGGCUCUUCCGAAUGGAGAGGUCUUUGUUAUCCGCCCGGUUGGUGGCAGGGGACCCGCGGCGCCAGGCUGGUGGCUUCGUGGUGACGCCCGUGUCCUGCUGCCGGUGCCACCACGCCGAGCCUGGCCCUCACCCUGAGCCGUGCCAAGGUGUGUGCCACCCAAAGGCCCCGCCUGGCUCCUCGCCGGCCACCAGUUUAAGCUGUCCCAGGCUGGGCAUCUCCUUGCCAUGGUGGUCGUCAACAGAGGAAGGUGAGGAGCAGAAGAUGACACCGCAUCUGGGAUGCUGA
Molecule: long non-coding RNA, 1347 nt
Filed under: Anas zonorhyncha (Eastern spot-billed duck)
Lineage: Eukaryota; Metazoa; Chordata; Aves; Anseriformes; Anatidae
Description: lncRNA (ENSAZOG00000011670.1)
Source: RNAcentral